CCCUUAGAUGUUCGGGGCCGCACGCGCGCUACACUGAAGGAAUCAGCACGUCUUUCUCCUUGUCCGAAAGGACUGGGUAACCCGCUGAACCUCCUUCGUGCUAGGGAUUGGGGCUUGUAAUUCUUCCCCAUGAACGAGGAAUUCCCAGUAAGCGCGAGUCAUAAGCUCGCGUUGAUUACGUCCCUGCCCUUUGUACACACCGCCCGUCGCUACUACCGAUUGGAUGGUUUAGUGAGAUCCUCGGAUUGGUCCCGGUGCGGCCUCUGGUCGUGCCGGAGUGCCGAAAAGAAUGUCGAACUUGAUCAUCUAGAGGAAGUAAAAGUCGUAACA
This 330-nucleotide ribosomal RNA is filed under the name uncultured eukaryote. RNAcentral's name for it is "partial 18S ribosomal RNA". It matches the Rfam family "Eukaryotic small subunit ribosomal RNA", at positions 1470 to 1796 of the family's 1831-position model. The record is from RNAcentral.